Imtechella halotolerans K1 is the source of this 125-nucleotide non-coding RNA. Lineage: Bacteria; Pseudomonadati; Bacteroidota; Flavobacteriia; Flavobacteriales; Flavobacteriaceae. The record is from Rfam.
UGGAGCAUUCAAAAGAAAAAAUGACACAAAUUUUAAACAAUACUUGGUGGUGGAGUAACUUACGUCGAACGUCGUGAGGCACACUGCUAUUGUAUCGUUUUAAUACCAUACGUAAAAGGCUUGUC